RNAcentral lists this ribosomal RNA (17 nucleotides) under Xylella fastidiosa. RNAcentral describes it as "partial 23S ribosomal RNA". The record is from RNAcentral. Lineage: Bacteria; Pseudomonadati; Pseudomonadota; Gammaproteobacteria; Lysobacterales; Lysobacteraceae.
GGUCAAGCGAAUAAGCG